RNAcentral lists this ribosomal RNA (449 nucleotides) under uncultured bacterium. Its description in RNAcentral is "partial 16S ribosomal RNA". It matches the Rfam family "Bacterial small subunit ribosomal RNA", at positions 29 to 523 of the family's 1533-position model. The record is from RNAcentral.
AGCGAACGCUGGCGGCAGGCCUAACACACGCAAGUCGAACGGACCCUUCGGGGUUAGUGGCGGACGGGUGAGUAACACGUGGGAACGUGCCUUUAGGUUCGGAAUAGCUCCUGGAAACGGGUGGUAAUGCCGAAUGUGCCCUUCGGGGGAAAGAUUUAUCGCCUUUAGAGCGGCCCGCGUCUGAUUAGCUAGUUGGUGAGGUAAUGGCUCACCAAGGCGACGAUCAGUAGCUGGUCUGAGAGGAUGACCAGCCACAUUGGGACUGAGACACGGCCCAAACUCCUACGGGAGGCAGCAGUGGGGAAUCUUGCGCAAUGGGCGAAAGCCUGACGCAGCCAUGCCGCGUGGAUGAUGAAGGUCUUAGGAUUGUAAAAUCCUUCCACCGGUGAAGAUAAUGACUGUAGCCGGAGAAGAAGCCCCGGCUAACUUCGUGCCAGCCGCCGCCGUAA